Molecule: transfer RNA, 69 nt
Filed under: Favonigobius gymnauchen (sharp-nosed sand goby)
Lineage: Eukaryota; Metazoa; Chordata; Actinopteri; Gobiiformes; Gobiidae
Description: tRNA-Asp
Rfam family: tRNA
About the family: Transfer RNA (tRNA) molecules are approximately 80 nucleotides in length. Their secondary structure includes four short double-helical elements and three loops (D, anti-codon, and T loops). Further hydrogen bonds mediate the characteristic L-shaped molecular structure. tRNAs have two regions of fundamental functional importance: the anti-codon, which is responsible for specific mRNA codon recognition, and the 3' end, to which the tRNAs corresponding amino acid is attached (by aminoacyl-tRNA synthetases). tRNAs cope with the degeneracy of the genetic code in two manners: having more than one tRNA (with a specific anti-codon) for a particular amino acid; and 'wobble' base-pairing, i.e. permitting non-standard base-pairing at the 3rd anti-codon position.
Source: RNAcentral
AAGAUACUAGUAUAGCCAGUACACUGCCUUGUCGAGGCAGAGUCGCGGGUUAAACCCCCGCGUAUCUUG